This 499-nucleotide ribosomal RNA is filed under the name Enterococcus faecium. RNAcentral's name for it is "bacterial SSU rRNA". It matches the Rfam family "Bacterial small subunit ribosomal RNA", at positions 897 to 1397 of the family's 1533-position model. Lineage: Bacteria; Bacillati; Bacillota; Bacilli; Lactobacillales; Enterococcaceae. The record is from RNAcentral.
AAACUCAAAGGAAUUGACGGGGGCCCGCACAAGCGGUGGAGCAUGUGGUUUAAUUCGAAGCAACGCGAAGAACCUUACCAGGUCUUGACAUCCUUUGACCACUCUAGAGAUAGAGCUUCCCCUUCGGGGGCAAAGUGACAGGUGGUGCAUGGUUGUCGUCAGCUCGUGUCGUGAGAUGUUGGGUUAAGUCCCGCAACGAGCGCAACCCUUAUUGUUAGUUGCCAUCAUUCAGUUGGGCACUCUAGCAAGACUGCCGGUGACAAACCGGAGGAAGGUGGGGAUGACGUCAAAUCAUCAUGCCCCUUAUGACCUGGGCUACACACGUGCUACAAUGGGAAGUACAACGAGUUGCGAAGUCGCGAGGCUAAGCUAAUCUCUUAAAGCUUCUCUCAGUUCGGAUUGCAGGCUGCAACUCGCCUGCAUGAAGCCGGAAUCGCUAGUAAUCGCGGAUCAGCACGCCGCGGUGAAUACGUUCCCGGGCCUUGUACACACCGCCCGU